Molecule: long non-coding RNA, 729 nt
Filed under: Pogona vitticeps (central bearded dragon)
Lineage: Eukaryota; Metazoa; Chordata; Lepidosauria; Squamata; Agamidae
Description: lncRNA (ENSPVIG00000014019.1)
Source: RNAcentral
UUUUUCCCUUAUAAAAAUCUGUCACCUGAACAAACAAAACAUUUGUACUGAUGUCUUAAAAAAUACUACUGGCUUCUAGAAACAUCUUUGUAAAAAAAAAUCUCUCUUUUUUUCUCUUUCAGCUGUACUUUUUCCUCAGGGACUUUAACUUUCUGUUCUCUGUAUUUGUUUUCUGCAACCUUCAGUGAUGCCAAAUAGAUUAUCUUCUCUCCUUUGCUGCCACUACCCACAGAACUUUGUAAACGGUGUCUUGUUUUAUGAUAGCUUCCAGAAACCUUUGGCCAUGAUCAGCAAGAGAAGUAAAUGAAAAAUUCAAGAACUCAGAAGCCGAUGUCAAAUGCAGCUACUUCUACAGCAGAAAUAAAUAUUAGGAAACUCUCAACCUAUAUAAUAGCAAACUCUUACCAGCUAUUUCCAGAAGGAAGGAAGAUUACCCCAAAAGAUUGCAAAAAUGCUUUGGAGCAUGGAACAACAAAUGCAUGGCCAACAAGGUGGCCAAAGAAUAUUUUCUUCACCUAAAACAUAAUCUAAAACUAUUAAUGGAUUGUGCUAAGGACUGAGGAGCCAAAUGUUUCAGAACUAUUCACAAGCUCUUGAACUGGCUCAACAGACAACUAGAGAGAAGGAUCACAGACAAAUUUUCUGGAGACAAUGAGAUGUAAGUGGAAUUGAUUGGUGUACGCUUUUGUUUCUCUCACACAUGUUGUUGGCAGAAUAACAACAAAGGGC